RNAcentral lists this ribosomal RNA (358 nucleotides) under uncultured Veillonellaceae bacterium. RNAcentral describes it as "partial 16S ribosomal RNA". Lineage: Bacteria; Bacillati; Bacillota; Negativicutes; Veillonellales; Veillonellaceae. The record is from RNAcentral.
GGAGUCUGGGCCGUGUCUCAGUCCCAAUGUGGCCGGUCAUCCUCUCAGAUCGGCUACCGAUCGUCGCCUUGGUGAGCCGUUACCUCACCAACUGGCUAAUCAGACGCAGGCCCAUCUUUCUGCGAUAGCUUACAAGCAGAGGCCAUCUUUGGUAUCUUUCCCAUGCGGGAAACAUACAUCAUUCGGUAUUAGCACCCCUUUCGGGAUGUUGUCCCCAUCAGAAAGGCAGGUUGCCUACGCGUUACUCACCCGUUUGCCACUAGGUCCUCUCAUUCAGCAAGCUGAUCAAAAGAACCCCGUCCGACUUGCAUGUGUUAAGCACGCCGCCAGCGUCGUCCUCGAGCCAUGAUCAAACUCU